CUCUAUGAUGAGUUUAUUAAUAUGAUGUACCUGUAUAACAUGAUAAGACAUUCAACUUUUGUCAAAUAACGACUUAACAAUUAGUUAUCAACUGGUAGUUUAAUUAUUAGUAUUGCAAACAGUACACAUGAGUAACGUUAAAUAGUUUCAUUUCUUCCGUAUCAUCAUUUUUGUUACUUUCAUUGAGUCAGAAAAUCCCUUCUAAUGAUGCCAAACCAAGCCGUGUUCAGACUUUAUACCUUUAAACUACCAUUAACAUACUCUCCAUUAAGAUCGGAACUUCCACAACCAUAGUUAUACCACCA
This 305-nucleotide long non-coding RNA is filed under the name Mytilus galloprovincialis (Mediterranean mussel). Lineage: Eukaryota; Metazoa; Mollusca; Bivalvia; Mytilida; Mytilidae. The record is from RNAcentral.